CAUCCCUGUCUGUCUAGAUGCAGAGAACCCAAAGCCCUGCAGGAUGGCAAAGCUGCAACAUGGAAGUCACCCGGAUCACCACGUAAAGGAAAUCUCUCCAACCAGGAACAAACACCUGCCUUGCAAUAUUAGGUGGCCACCAGACUUUCUCUGCUUGUAUCCUCCCAGGACCACAGAACUCAUCGCAUCCCAAGGCAGCCUAUUCCAUCAUGGAUGAGCUCAAAGUGUUUGAAAGUUCUGCUUUAUCAAGUGAGCCAAACUUCCUCCCUCAGGACCAUCCACUCCAGGGCCCAGUUAUUCUACUGGAGGAGUGAGGGUAAAGCCAUCACCAGGACAACCUUGGUGACAGGCUGGACUGGC
This 360-nucleotide long non-coding RNA is filed under the name Homo sapiens (human). RNAcentral describes it as "non-protein coding lnc-ADA-3:10". Lineage: Eukaryota; Metazoa; Chordata; Mammalia; Primates; Hominidae. The record is from RNAcentral.